Molecule: long non-coding RNA, 229 nt
Filed under: Numida meleagris (helmeted guineafowl)
Lineage: Eukaryota; Metazoa; Chordata; Aves; Galliformes; Numididae
Description: lncRNA (ENSNMEG00000006370.1)
Source: RNAcentral
CAAAGCGGGAGCCUAAUAGGCAUGGAAGAGCUCUGGAUUUUUCCUGACUAUGAAGAGACUUUUUUAUGCUAGAGAAAUGGAACAAAGCAAUACUUCAUGGUUAAGAAAUGGAUGUGAGCCAGCAGUCAGUACCCUAAGGUGAAAAGCCAGAUCUGCCAAGCAACUCUUCAAUUUCCAAACAGGAGUCUACCAAUCCCAAACAAAGAAUAAAUGAAAAAAAAAAAGUGCA